RNAcentral lists this long non-coding RNA (3652 nucleotides) under Gossypium barbadense (sea-island cotton). Its description in RNAcentral is "long non-coding RNA (GBAR_LNC010646)". Lineage: Eukaryota; Viridiplantae; Streptophyta; Magnoliopsida; Malvales; Malvaceae. The record is from RNAcentral.
UUGGCUGAUCCCUUUCGCUGUAUGGCGUGCUCGUUUGGGUUGGGCGUCGGCUAAGAGUGCUCAGAGCGUAGAUUAACUCCAGUCUCCUAUCAGGUGUGUAUUUCUCACUACUCUAGUUGUAGGAUGGCUACUUCGGGCUGUGAUGGGCCGAAAGAGGCCAUGUGGGCCCAAUGGGCCUACGAGCCCAAUUGGAUAAGUUGUUUGAUUGUGUAGUAAAUAUUGGACUAGGCUAGGUGAAUCUCAUAUUUGUGGCUAAAUUUGGGCUAAAAGGGCCACAAGAGCGUGUGGGCACAUUUGGGCUGAGAAUGGGCUUUAGGGCUAUUCGUAUUGUUAUCCCUAUUUAGAAUACUUUAGUUUACCAAUUACAGAAAUGCCCUCGACUUGUAAAAUUACCAAAGUACCCUCGAUUUAUAGAAUCACUGUUUUACCCUUGAUUUACAGAAUUACUGUUUUACCCUCAAUUUACAAAAUUACCGUUUUACCCUCGAUUGUGAAAUUACUAAAAUACCCCUAUAGGGUAGAAUUACCAAAAUACCCCUAGUUUGUAAAAUUACCAAAAUACCACUGGUUUGUGAAAUUAUCGAAAUACCCUCAAUUUGUAAAAUUACCAAAAUACCCCUAAUUUACAAAAUUAUAGAAAUACCCUUGACUUUCUAAAAAUUAUAGAAAUACCAUUGGUUUACAAAAUUAUUGAAAUACCCUUGGUUUGUAGAUUUACCAAAACACCCUUGUAGGAUGAAAUGACUAAAAUACCCCUAAUAGGUAAAAAGACCGUAAAGCCCCUGUAGGGUAAAGUGACCGUAAUACCCCUGUAUGGUAAAAUGAUGAAUAUGCCCUUAUGUUCCGUAUGACUGAUGUGCUUAGGAUUUACAUAUAUUAAUAUUGGAUUAGUUAAGUUUGAGUGAUAGGUGGUGGUUAUCGUAGGUGAUUGAUUUUGGAAACGUUUCAACUUCAACCCAUAACAGGUGUGUAAUAACCCUCGCAGUAGCUUAGAUUAAUAUUCACCGAAAAGCCGAAAUGCUAAAAUUUCGGCAUUUCGAAAACUUGUGAUUUUGCCUUUGCUUAAAGAUACGAUAGAUACAAUAUGAUCGGUGUUUGGAUCGAUGGAGCAGGUAAGAGCGCAAUUUUGUGCACGAUGGUAAGUUGGGCCUCAAUGGGCUAGAAUCGGGCCCAAUGGGCUUUCGGGCCCAUUUGCGUAAAACUGAUAGAAAAUGGAAUCUGGAAAAGUUGCAUGUUAACACGGUUAGUACUAUUGUAAAAUUUGGGUUAAGCAGGCUUAGUGGGCUAAAUCACCAUUCGUAAGGCCCAUUAGGGGUUUUGGGCCCAAAAGCCCGAAUUUUAUAAGUGGGUUAAAGAUCAUUGUUUAAACACUCAGAAAUAUUGACAAUUGUAAUGAACAUGGAAAACCCUGAUUUUUGGUAAAAUUACGAAAAUACCCUUAUAAUAUGAAAAAUGACUGUUUUGCCCUUGUGGGCAAGUGACUGACUUGGACUGUGUGGUUGACGGAUUUGAUUGUGAAUAUAUGUUGGUGAUAUAAAUGACUUGACUGUGAUUGUUUGAUUCAAAUAUGGGCAUGACAUUCUGCAUACAUGACAUAUUGCAUGGGAUAUGGGUUAUAUUGAUGGAGGAAGUGCUAAAAGGGCUCUGCCCUAGUUUAUCGAAAAGGGCUUUGCCCCAGUUUAUCAGAAAGGGCUUUGCCCCAGUUAUUAAAAGAGGCUAGGCCUCCAGUUAUAUGAUAAAGUAGCUAUGCUGCCAGUGGAGAGUUUGGUUGGGUGGGUUGAGUUAUUCCUCACAUGGAGAACUUGGUUGGUACGGGUGGAGAGUAGCGGAUGGUGGGUUGAGUAGUCUCCCCAAAUGGGCUUGCAUACAUUCAUUGACAUUACAUGUGAUAUUGAAAUGGGCUUGCAUACAUUCAUUGACAUUACAUGUGAUAUUGAAAUGGGCUUGCAUACUUCCAUUGACAUUACAUGUGAUAUUGAAAUGGGCCUAAGGGCCAUACCGUUUACAGUAAAGGCUUUGACCCAGUGAUAUGAUUUAUGAAAAGGCUUCGGCCUAGUGAUAUGAUUUAUGAAAAGGCUUCGACCCAGUGAUAUGAUUUAUGGAAAGGCUUCGGCCCAGUAUAUGUCAAGACUAAAUAGGGCUUUGGCCCAGAUUGUACUAAUACCGUGUUAUUUACUGUUUGUUUGUUAUUGGGGUUACACACUGAGUUUUCGUAAACUCACCCUGUUUCUAACUAUGCAGGUAAUCCCUAAGCUUAGAUGGUUUGGAGCUGCGAGAGACUCGGAGAUGGCCACACUACUGUUUUUGUUUCUUUUAAUUGCAAUAAGUAACCGGUUUAUUUUUUUAUAAGUUUUAUCUUAAUUAAUAUUAUUAUUUGGUUUUGGGAUGUAAUAAGGCCAUUUUAAUUAUUUUUCUGGGAUUAUUUUAUCUUAUACCCUAUAUUUUUCUAAUAACAAUAUGAGUUAGAUCUAGGGAGCGUUUCCAAAAUGAUAAUUGUUUUCAAAAUAACGCAACGAUACAAUUAAUUGGUUUAUCAAAAAUAUCUACUUAAAUAAAUUCCAAUAGGUUUUUCUCAAAACCUAACCUAGCACCAAAGUGUGGCAAUGGUUGUGGGCAUGUCUAGGAUUGGAUCCAAUCAAGAGCUUGGUACUUAAGCAGCCUUCUAGGCUCACCUUCUCUGCUUCAGAUACCUACCUGGUGCACAGCUUCCAUUCACUUUAUUAACUUAGCAAAGACUAUCUUUUAAAACACUAAGAAGGACGUUGAAAGAGGCAUGGGUUUUCUUAAAAACUUCAAUGUGACACGUCGGAUUCGGCCACAACGUCUGGGCUGGGUUUGGGGUGUUACACUGGCUCGUCCCGGAGCACCACCGCCUUCGGCUACACGCACUUCACGCUCCACCGUCUGAGCCACCGUGCCCGGCAUUAGGGCUUUCAAAGCCCCAUUUUUUUACAGCGAAUAAAAAAGGUAACCCUUUAUUACUAUUUUUAUGAUGUAUUUUACUAUAUGCUGUAUCAGAAAGAAAAUAAAUAAUAAAAAGAAAAUUGAAAGUAUCACCUCUGUUCUUCAGUAAACUUUUAAUCUCAUUUUUAUAUAUUUUGUGUAAAAAAAAACCCGUCCCCUCUUACAGGUUACAAAGGAGGCUUUUAUAGCCACUGUUUCUAUUACAUUUUGGGAAGAAAUCCUUUUAUUUCUUUCCAUAUUUGUUUUGGUUGUUUGUUGCUAUUUCUUUCCUUCUUUUACAGGUAACGCCGAAAAAUUCAGCGGUGAUGGAGGCUUGACGAUGGUGACGACGGACCAGGCACUGACUGCGCACUGGCUUGCGGAGCUGAUGGAGGGUAGCUGGAUCGACGCGAGAUGAAACGACGUGACUCGGGGCCAGAGUUACGGGGAAAGUGGAGAGGCGUGUCUGCUUGCGGCGCCUAGGGUUUCUAAAACCCUAGGCCUUCCUGCUUUCCAUUAACAAUUUGGGCCUCUUGGGCUUUGUAUGCUUUGGGUCUGGGUGUAAUGGGUCUGUUGGGUAGUUUUAGGUAUCUGAAUUUGGGCCUACGGGUUAGUGGGUCGUGUAUUGUAAAUGGACUAUAAUAAACAUUCCUUUGUUUAUUUUUUUUGUUUCUGGUUCUAUUUAAUUAUGGGCCCGAGCAGAAACGGG